This 76-nucleotide transfer RNA is filed under the name Vibrio cholerae. Its description in RNAcentral is "tRNA-Gly". It matches the Rfam family "tRNA". From Rfam's summary of the family: Transfer RNA (tRNA) molecules are approximately 80 nucleotides in length. Their secondary structure includes four short double-helical elements and three loops (D, anti-codon, and T loops). Lineage: Bacteria; Pseudomonadati; Pseudomonadota; Gammaproteobacteria; Vibrionales; Vibrionaceae. The record is from RNAcentral. RNAcentral also lists the same sequence under 1 other name.
GCGACUCUAGCUCAGUUGGUAGAGCGCAACCUUGCCAAGGUUGAGGUCACGAGUUCGAACCUCGUGUGUCGCUCCA